This 4735-nucleotide long non-coding RNA is filed under the name Marmota monax (woodchuck). The record is from RNAcentral. Lineage: Eukaryota; Metazoa; Chordata; Mammalia; Rodentia; Sciuridae.
GUAAGGACUUGGAAGCAGGCUGUAAAUCCCGUGAGCUCCACCCAGGACCACAUCUGCAAGUAAAAAGUCAUUUGGUGAAAAGGUGAUGCUGACGCUUGGGAAUGCCAAGCCCUUUCCUCGCGGAUGCCCGUGGUAUAGGGAUUCUUCGUUCAUCAGGAAGGCAUAGAUCUGCCUUUCUCCCCUAGAACAGUGGGACUCACCGGAGGGUUUGUACCCGUGGGCGGUGGGCCUGCAAGGUGCCAGGAGCAGCACGUCACUGUUCUGACCUGGUGUUCUUGUGAGGAGGGGCACAGUGGCCCCUCACGGCCAGGGCAGGAGGGUACAGGAUCCCACCCAGUGAGUGCCCAGAACCUCACAGAGCACCAAGCUCUCCCUCCACACACUGCGCUUCUCUUGCAUAUACCAGGUGCUUGUCAUACCCCCAUGGCUGUGACUUUGUUAGAGAUGUGACAGCAAAACCAGCACGACUUUGUUUCCUUCGAGAUUGUACAGAAGAGUCUAGAUCAUGGCAACCUCAGACUGUCUGAUUUCCCUGAAGGAGACGUCCUGCUCUCCCUCCCGUGGGCAGCACCUUGCUGAGCUUCUGCAUGGCUGGAGCCUCCCUGCUGAGCUUCAGAGCCCACGCGUACCUGCACCGAGGCAGACCCGAGUGCUCCGGGCACUGAGGCACUGAGGCUGAGCAGACUGGGCAGGCCGGCCCGGGGUCUUCACGCUGCUCACUCAGGGGUGUGCGGUUUAGAACUCACAGGUCAUUUAUUUUAGGAAUAUUCUAGUCAGUGUUUUCAGACUGACGUCAACCGUGGGUAACUGAAACCGUGGAUGAGGGGGAACUGCUAUAUCUUACAAAUGAGAAAAUUUGAGGUUGACAUUAAGUAAUCUGCUCAAAGCAGUGGAGCUGAGAUUUGAUAACUGCAUCUACCUAGCCAUUCCUCUCUAGUUCAGUUCUAUGAAUUCAUAGGAAAAAUUCAUAGGAGAAAUCAUGAAACAAAUAAUUUGCAGCAUAGCCGGGUGCGGUGGCCCACGCCUAUAAUCCCAGUGGUUUGGGAGGCUGAGGCAGGAGGAUCAUGAGUUCAAAGCCAGCCUCAGCAAAAGUGAGGUGCUAAGCAACUCAGUGAGACCCUGUCUCUAAAUAAAAUACAAAAUAGGGGUGGAAUGUGGCUCAGUGGCCAAGUGCCCCUGAGUUCAAUCCCAGCUACCAAAAAAAAAAAAAUCUGAAACAUAUGAUUUAUCUCCACCUUAGGAAUUAGCUAUUACUUUAUCAAAGAUAAUUUUGAUUAAGUUAAAUUAAUUAUUCACCAUCCUUAAAGUGUUGAUAUAAGAUCUUAAACAUCUUCAUCCCUGUUGCCUUUCAGUGUUAGAAAGGGGCGAGAACAAUGUAGAGUAUUGAAUUGUCUGUAGCAUUUUCCGUAAGUUCUGUGCUGUAUUUCAUCACUGAUAAAUGUAAUUUCAGUGAAAUGAACUUUAAAGUACGUUUCUAAUGGUGAGAAAUGUGAUUUGUGGGUGGAAGUGCAGCUCAGUCGCAAAGUACCUACCCAGGGCCCUGGGUUCUGUUCUAGCACCACACAAAAAGAGAAGAGAAGAAAUAUGAAUCUGGUAAUGAUGAGCAUUUCUGGUGAGCAUUAGCAUAUUGUGGGUGGCAUAAUAUUUCCCAUUUCUAUUGUGUUGCAAAAAUAAUAUAAACCAUGCAUUGGAAAAACCCAAAUAGAGAAAUGUUUAUUCCCUAGUUUCACCUAUUGCAUAAGGUGUUUCAGCUUUGCUUUUAUCUUUGUAUGUUAGGCCACAUGCCCGUGAAACCAGUGGAAACUGCCUUCCUUCACCUGGCCCCCAAAUACUCAAGGACCACACUGAGCACACCCACCAGUCAGGUCAUCGGGAAUCUGAAAAACCGAAUGGAGGCCGCUUGUCUGAGUGGCUUAGUAGAGAACAUGCUGAGAGGGCAGCUUUGCCCUUUCACCUCGGUGACAGUUCGCCUGGAAAGAGAGUGAACAGUAGUGAAGUGGCCUCCCUGUCUUCAUCCUGUUCUGCACGUUCCAGGGCUGUCGGCCCAAAGCCGGACGCUGUUCCGCAGCAGACCAGGAUAGAGCCAUGCUACUAUGAGAACUCUCCUUCCACGGGACAUGUGGCUCAGCCAGCCUGCCGAUGUGAUGGUUGCCAGGGGCCAGAACUUCUUUGUCAGCUUCUGCCACCCGCAUUGCCGCCAAAGAAACAUGCUGUUACUAGUGUGCCACAGUCGGAGAGGAGUGAGUCUGUGCCUGACGUCAGACUUUCAGGGGUGAUCAGUGGUCCCCCGAGGCCAAGCGCAGUGUCGGAGCCAGGUUCAGAACUCAGUACACAUGCGGACCACCUGAGAUGCAGAGAGACCCUUCAAGUGAAGAUGCGCACGGGCAGCAGAGCCCCCUGCCUGUUCAACACUGCAGCUUGUGGGUUUCGGGCAAACUCAACUACAGUUGCUGAUGCACUCUGCCAGCCAGAACUGGACUCUAGUUCUCCGUGCCCAAGUGAGACCGUCUCAUUAACUACCUAUUUUUCAGUUGACAGCUGCAUGACUGAUACGUACAGACUGAAAUACCAUCAGAGGCCCAAGCUCUGCUUUCCAGAGAAGACUGGCUCUUGUCACAGCCGUUCACCAACUCAGAGUGAUAGAAGCGUAGGACCUGUCACAUGAUGGCCUUGGCCCACCCUGUCCUUCCACAAGUCCAGCAUGAUGGAGUCCACCAGCUUAUUCUUAGAGGCCAUGAAGAUAUUCCUAGUGACCAAGAAAAUCAAAUCUGUGGCAUUUUAAAAAUCAUAUAUAUACAUACACACACACAAAUGAAUAUAAUGUUAAAAUGUUUUGCUCUAUAAUGAUCAAUUAUUGGGUAUUUUGGAAAUUCACUUUGAAUAUCGUGGCAUGCCUUGAAAAAUAGCAAGUCAGGGAAUAUAUAAUACUAUUUGCCAUAUAUAACAGUUGAAUAAAAAUUAGAUUUGUCCCCGUCUAACAUGGCUAGUAGACCCAUAGUAUCAAACUGACCAGUUCCACGGGAACUGCCCGUCUGCAUGCCAGCAGCACAUGGGUUGUCAGGUCAAAGCAGAGUCUGCCUUUAAGAGCACUUUUUGAUGGUAGCCUAAAGGUUUCAUCAGUUUGUUCCCGAUUUCUUCCACGCCUGGGCCCUUCAAGUGUCUUAAAAAAAAAAAAAAAUGACCUUGAGUUUUGUAGAAUCUUGGGGAAAAUUGCCUUAAUGAUUAACACUUUUUAAAAUUUCAAGGUCAGGACUAAUUUUUCUCCUAGAACAUAUAUCUUCAGAGUAUCUGGCUAACGUAAAUAGGCCUUUAACCAUUAUAUGUGUUCGUAAAUAUUAGCCACGAGCUGAGAAGUCAAAAGUGUGAACUUAAGUAUAUUUAUUUAUCUUGUUACUUUUUUUUUUUUUUCUUUCUGAUUUUACGUGAAAUGUGAAAGACUUUUAUUUUGGUUACAUUUGCUUUGGGCUGCUAAUAACCAAUGUUAGGAAUUAACCUUGAGUCCUCUUAAUUGGGACUGUCAAACUGCCCAGGUUCUCUCUGCUCCAGUCUUACACUCCUAGGUUGUCAACUCAUUUUACUACGCAGGCUUCCAGGUUAACGUUGUCUUCCAUAUAGAGGGUUUAAUUUUAAUGAAAUGGGUAUCUAAUUUGGGCACCCUUCCAAAAAUUUUUUCUUUCUCAGAUCAUUUUACCCCGGCUACCUUCAUGGAAAGGGCUUUCUUUAAAACUCAUAGGGAUUUUCAUAUGGUGAACUUAGGAGCGAGAACAACUCCCUUAUCUCCUUAGUUGUCAGUUUAUUUUAUACUAAGCUGAUAACCUGAUUGGGAUUGAGAAUAGUUUUACAGUGUCUAUUCCAGAGAAUUGAGAAUUUAUGAUUCAGUAAACUAAUAAGUUUAAUAUCUUGGCCAAUUCCAUAAAUUGUGUUAAAUUUUUCCAAAAUGUUAAGUGGUUAAAAUGAAUACUUUUAGAUAAUUGAUUAUAAAAGCUAACCCUAGCCCUUUGACUUUGGCCACCAAGACUGUCUUCUGCCUAUAGAGAACUUCUCACCAUCCUUUUUUACCUUUUUAUAUGCUCUCAAUUUAGAAAUAGUUGAAUAUCAACUCAAAUUUUUAUCAUCUUUUAAGAAAACUUUUAAGUUUUUAUAAUGGAAGGUUUGUAAGUAAUGUAAGGUUUAUAGAACUGUAUCUGAAAUGUCAGUGUUUUUCAUUGCUGCUCUGAUAAUGUAAAGUACUAAAGAUGGGGGCUUCAAGUAUUUUUUAAUAGCUUUCAAAAACUGUGUGGGCUCGUAUUAACUUCUAUUUGGUCAAGAUGUUCAGUUUGAAAUAUAUUAACUGAAACAUUUACACUAAUUUCUGAUUUUAUAAGUUAAAUGUACCUUUUCAACAUCCGGUUUAGUUGCAAACAUUAAAUAGCAGUAUCCAAUUUUGCCUUUUAACCUACUAUUCAUUUUUUAAGAAACUUCCCCAUUUGGUACUAAACAAAUCAGAAACCAUUUGGUUUUGUUGAUUCAGCACUCCAAGUAGAUUCAAAACAUACAUACUAUCUAAUCAUUCCCCUGUAAAGUCUCUACUUCUGAGGUGCCUGUUAAUAUUUUUAUAUUUUCAUGUUAUAACUUUUUAUAAUACAGGCAAGCAUUAUUGAAAUGUUUAAAAUACUUGUCUUCAGAAUUAUAUUUUCAUGUAAAAUCAUUUUCUUUUGGUUCAAAAGUUUUUAAGAUAAAGUGUUUUAAGUUAACA